GUUUGCGGUUGGGAUUUUAUAUCUCAUCCACAUUUUUUGUUUCAACUUAUUGUCUAUUUCUCUGGUACCUUAAAAAAUAGUGAACAGAAAAUGCUCAUAAAAAAUUACUUGCAAAAAUAAAAGGAGGGAUCAGUCAAUAUGUAAUAAAGUAUUUAAAAAAAAGGAUUUUAUUGACCAUUAUCAGAAUGCAUUAUACACAUGAUUGAAAUGAAAUCAAUAUCCACCUCUGAUAACACACAGACAGGUGAAGAAAGUGAGAAACAGCUUCACAGCAUACUGAGUAAGAGCUCAGGGAGAAACCAUGGGCUCGUACAAUUUGCACAGCAAACAGAAGGAUUUCCAGGAGGCCGGGAGAUACAUCCCGAACUCAGUAUGACGGGUCCCUGCGGAGAGAAACAACAGUGAUUAUAAUAAGAGUCCUAAAGACUAUGCUACGUUUUAUGAAUAAAAUGGACCAUCCAUCAUAGAGACUUUGGAAGGAUUACUUGCACACAAUGGUUAUGAAAUAUUAUUAGCAUAUUGAUAGUUUAAGGCAAGCAUGUCAAACUUGCUGCUUUGUGCUGAGGAUGUGACCAGCCGCAAGAGAGGAAAGAUAUUUCCUAUCUGAUUCUUGUCUUCCCUCCCACGACUGCAAGAGAGUAGAUUGUCUGUCUGCAGAGCAGGCCAGCCACUCCCUCUUCCCUCCUGCUCGCAGUUCCAGCCACUUCCCCUUCCCUCCUGCUCGCAGUGCCAGCCACUCCCCC
Molecule: non-coding RNA, 743 nt
Organism: Pelobates cultripes (western spadefoot toad)
Lineage: Eukaryota; Metazoa; Chordata; Amphibia; Anura; Pelobatidae
Source: the annotation of a GenBank genome assembly